CGUUAUAUUAUUUUCUUCAUUAAACGUCCAAGGGAACUGAUAUUUGUAAUGUUGGGAUAAUUAAUUCGUUAAAUAGGUUCAUUGACAUUGUGUCAAAAUGGCCUGGGUCAACACACAUGAUGCCUAUGUCUUCUACAGCUUUGGUUUGAACUUUGAAGACCUUUCCUUGAAGAAAACCACCUGGGAUACCUACUUGGCGACUCCGGCUAUCCGUUAAAAAAAUAUGUAUAAACGCCCUUGCUUAGGCCGACAACAGAUGCAGAGGUGAGAUACAACCAUGUUGUCAAGUUGUUUUGUUGUGGUUGAGAGGGCUUUUGGACUGUUGAGAGUAGAUUUAGGUGUCUACAUGAAACUGUAGGAUGUUUAUUCAUGAGACUUGAUGAGUGCGGUCAAGCAGUAGAUGCAUGAAUGUGCCUGCACAACUUAUGCAUAGAUCAGCAGGUACCACUGCCUGAACAACUUAUUGAGGCACAGGAAGUGGAUUAUGUUGUGCACGGUGCCCCACAACAGAACCAAAAUGCAGCACUUAUAGACAUCAUUAACUUAUUUAUGUAGGUGUUGUGUCAUGCUCACUUGUGCAUGAAGUGCUAUAGGUCAGCCAUUGUGGUUUGUCUAUGCCCGGCUUCAGCCUUAUCCACAUUUGACUCUAUAGUGAUGAUGGUCAUAAUGUUUCUGUUAAUAACAGUCUGCAAAACUAUGUUUUUUGGUUUUUUGUCUUCAUAGCCAAUGUGGCUAUUAAACUUUGAAAAUGUCAUAGCCAGAGGAAAGUUUUCAUAGCCAGAAUAAUUAAUUUACAGUGACAUUAUCAUGAAUGAACGACAACAGUCGUUAUAUAUAGAUUGCAAUUAGG
Long non-coding RNA from Dreissena polymorpha, 850 nucleotides. RefSeq lists it as uncharacterized. Lineage: Eukaryota; Metazoa; Mollusca; Bivalvia; Myida; Dreissenidae. The record is from RefSeq and is a predicted model, not a curated record. The transcript is spliced from 4 exons.